CGGCAGCACGGGGGCAACCCUGGUGGCGAGUGGCGAACGGGUGAGUAAUACAUCGGAACGUGUCCUGUAGUGGGGGAUAGCCCGGCGAAAGCCGGAUUAAUACCGCAUACGCUCUACGGAGGAAAGGGGGGGAUCUUAGGACCUCUCGCUACAGGGGCGGCCGAUGGCAGAUUAGCUAGUUGGUGGGGUAAAGGCCUACCAAGGCGACGAUCUGUAGCUGGUCUGAGAGGACGACCAGCCACACUGGGACUGAGACACGGCCCAGACUCCUACGGGAGGCAGCAGUGGGGAAUUUUGGACAAUGGGCGCAAGCCUGAUCCAGCAAUGCCGCGUGUGUGAAGAAGGCCUUCGGGUUGUAAAGCACUUUUGUCCGGAAAGAAAACUUCUGCCCUAAUACGGCGGGAGGAUGACGGUACCGGAAGAAUAAGCACCGGCUAACUACGUGCCAGCAGCCGCGGUAAUACGUAGGGUGCAAGCGUUAAUCGGAAUUACUGGGCGUAAAGCGUGCGCAGGCGGUUCGCUAAGACAGAUGUGAAAUCCCCGGGCUUAACCUGGGAACUGCAUUUGUGACUGGCGGGCUAGAGUAUGGCAGAGGGGGGUAGAAUUCCACGUGUAGCAGUGAAAUGCGUAGAGAUGUGGAGGAAUACCGAUGGCGAA
Molecule: ribosomal RNA, 657 nt
Filed under: uncultured Burkholderia sp.
Lineage: Bacteria; Pseudomonadati; Pseudomonadota; Betaproteobacteria; Burkholderiales; Burkholderiaceae
Description: bacterial SSU rRNA
Rfam family: Bacterial small subunit ribosomal RNA
Source: RNAcentral